This 253-nucleotide ribosomal RNA is filed under the name uncultured bacterium. Its description in RNAcentral is "partial 16S ribosomal RNA". It matches the Rfam family "Bacterial small subunit ribosomal RNA", at positions 524 to 776 of the family's 1533-position model. The record is from RNAcentral.
UACGUAGGCAGCAAGCGUUGUUCGGAAUUACUGGGCGUAAAGAGUGUGUAGGUGGUGCUCUAAGUUUGGUGUGAAAUCUCCCGGCUUAACUGGGAGGGUGCAUCGAAAACUGGAGUGCUCGAGUAUGGGAGAGGCAAGCGGAAUUCCUGGUGUAGCGGUGAAAUGCGUAGAUAUCAGGAGGAACACCUGUGGUGUAGACAGCUUGCUGGACCAUUACUGACACUGAGACACGAAAGCGUGGGUAGCAAACAGG